This 461-nucleotide ribosomal RNA is filed under the name uncultured bacterium. RNAcentral's name for it is "bacterial SSU rRNA". It matches the Rfam family "Bacterial small subunit ribosomal RNA", at positions 28 to 507 of the family's 1533-position model. The record is from RNAcentral.
GACGAACGCUGGCGGCGUGCCUAACACAUGCAAGUCGAACGAAGAAUGUUUUUCGGAAUAUUCUUAGUGGCGGACGGGUGAGUAACGCGUGAACAAUCUGCCCCGUACAAAGGGAUAGCCUCGGGAAACCGGGAUUAAAACCAUAUAACGCUUAACUGCCGCAUGGUAGUGAAGUCAAAUCGAUUAAGAGGUAUGGGAUGAGUUCGCGUCUGAUUAGCUAGUUGGUGAGGUAAGGGCUCACCAAGGCGACGAUCAGUAGCCGGCCUGAGAGGGUGAACGGCCACACUGGAACUGAGACACGGUCCAGACUCCUACGGGAGGCAGCAGUGGGGAAUAUUGCACAAUGGAGGGAACUCUGAUGCAGCGACGCCGCGUGAGUGAAGAAGGUCUUCGGAUCGUAAAACUCUGUCCUUGGUGAAGAAAGGACGGUAGCCAAGGAGGAAGCCCCGGCUAACUACGUG